ACCGGCCUCCGCCCGGCAGGGAGGGGCUCUCUCCAGAGGCUCAGCCUCCUCUGCUCCCCAUGGGCAACUGCCAGGCAGGGCACAACCUGCACCUGUGUCUGGCCCACCACCCACCGCUGGUCUGUGCCACUUUGAUCCUGCUGUUCCUUGGCCUCUCCGGUCUGGGCCUUGGCAGUUUCCUCCUCACCCACAGGACUGGCCUGCGCAGCCCUGACAUCCCCCAGGACUGGGUCUCUUUUUUGAGAUCUUUUGGCCAGCUGAUCCUGUGUCCCAGGAAUGGGACAGUCACAGGGAAGUGGCGAGGGUCUCACGUCGUGAGCUUACUGAUCACCUUGAACUUCGGAGACUGUCCAGACAGGAACAAGACCCGGACAUUCCAGGCCACGGUCCUGGGUAGUCAGAUGGGAUUGAAAGGAUCUUCUGCAGGACAACUGGUCCUUAUCACAGUCAGGGUGACCACAGAAAGGACUGCAGGAACCUGCCCGUAUUUUAGUGUUCCAGGAAUCCUACCCUCCAGCCAGCCACCCAUAUCCUGCUCAGAGGAGGGGGCCGGAAAUGCCACCUAAGCCCUAGAAUGGGUGAGGAGUGCAUUAGUGUCUGGCACCACGAAGGCCUUGUGCUGACCGAGCUGCUCACCUCGGAGGAGAGGAGCUGGCUCUGUGUGGCCCCAGGCUGCUGGUCUUGGGCUCCUUCCUGCUUCUUUUCUGUGGCCUUCUCUGCUGUGUCACUGCUACGUGCUUCCACCCGCGCUGGGAGUCCCACUGGUCUAGAACCCGGCUCUGA
This is an RNA transcript of Rhinopithecus roxellana (golden snub-nosed monkey), 783 nucleotides long. It is a transcript of the gene named insulin-like growth factor-binding protein 3 receptor pseudogene, with no coding region annotated. The record is from RefSeq and is a predicted model, not a curated record. The transcript has a single exon. Lineage: Eukaryota; Metazoa; Chordata; Mammalia; Primates; Cercopithecidae.